RNAcentral lists this ribosomal RNA (1110 nucleotides) under Bacillus altitudinis. RNAcentral describes it as "bacterial SSU rRNA". It matches the Rfam family "Bacterial small subunit ribosomal RNA", at positions 34 to 1141 of the family's 1533-position model. Lineage: Bacteria; Bacillati; Bacillota; Bacilli; Caryophanales; Bacillaceae. The record is from RNAcentral.
CGCAGUCGCGUGCUAUACAUGCAGUCGAGCGGACAGAAGGGAGCUUGCUCCCGGAUGUUAGCGGCGGACGGGUGAGUAACACGUGGGUAACCUGCCUGUAAGACUGGGAUAACUCCGGGAAACCGGAGCUAAUACCGGAUAGUUCCUUGAACCGCAUGGUUCAAGGAUGAAAGACGGUUUCGGCUGUCACUUACAGAUGGACCCGCGGCGCAUUAGCUAGUUGGUGAGGUAACGGCUCACCAAGGCGACGAUGCGUAGCCGACCUGAGAGGGUGAUCGGCCACACUGGGACUGAGACACGGCCCAGACUCCUACGGGAGGCAGCAGUAGGGAAUCUUCCGCAAUGGACGAAAGUCUGACGGAGCAACGCCGCGUGAGUGAUGAAGGUUUUCGGAUCGUAAAGCUCUGUUGUUAGGGAAGAACAAGUGCAAGAGUAACUGCUUGCACCUUGACGGUACCUAACCAGAAAGCCACGGCUAACUACGUGCCAGCAGCCGCGGUAAUACGUAGGUGGCAAGCGUUGUCCGGAAUUAUUGGGCGUAAAGGGCUCGCAGGCGGUUUCUUAAGUCUGAUGUGAAAGCCCCCGGCUCAACCGGGGAGGGUCAUUGGAAACUGGGAAACUUGAGUGCAGAAGAGGAGAGUGGAAUUCCACGUGUAGCGGUGAAAUGCGUAGAGAUGUGGAGGAACACCAGUGGCGAAGGCGACUCUCUGGUCUGUAACUGACGCUGAGGAGCGAAAGCGUGGGGAGCGAACAGGAUUAGAUACCCUGGUAGUCCACGCCGUAAACGAUGAGUGCUAAGUGUUAGGGGGUUUCCGCCCCUUAGUGCUGCAGCUAACGCAUUAAGCACUCCGCCUGGGGAGUACGGUCGCAAGACUGAAACUCAAAGGAAUUGACGGGGGCCCGCACAAGCGGUGGAGCAUGUGGUUUAAUUCGAAGCAACGCGAAGACCUUACCAGGUCUUGACAUCCUCUGACACCCUAGAGAUAGGGCUUUCCCUUCGGGGACAGAGUGACAGGUGCUGCAUGCUGGUCGUCAGCUCGUGUCGUGAGAUGCUGGCUAGUCCGCACCGAGCGCACCCGUGAUCUAGUGCCAGCAUUCAGCUGGGACUCA